GACGAACGCUGGCGGCGUGCCUAAUACAUGCAAGUCGAGCGGACUUUCAAGAAGCUUGCUUUUUGAAAGUUAGCGGCGGACGGGUGAGUAACACGUGGGCAACCUGCCUGCAAGACGGGGAUAACUCCGGGAAACCGGGGCUAAUACCGGAUAAUAUCUUCCUUCGCAUGAAGGAAGGUUGAAAGGCGGCGCAAGCUGCCGCUUGCAGAUGGGCCCGCGGCGCAUUAGCUAGUUGGUGAGGUAACGGCUCACCAAGGCGACGAUGCGUAGCCGACCUGAGAGGGUGCUCGGCCACACUGGGACUGAGACACGGCCCAGACUCCUACGGGAGGCAGCAGUAGGGAAUCUUCCGCAAUGGACGAAAGUCUGACGGAGCAACGCCGCGUGAGCGAAGAAGGUCUUCGGAUCGUAAAGCUCUGUUGUCAGGGAAGAACAAGUACCGUUCGAACAGGGCGGUACCUUGACGGUACCUGACCAGAAAGCCACGGCUAACUACGUG
Molecule: ribosomal RNA, 499 nt
Filed under: uncultured bacterium
Lineage: Bacteria
Description: partial 16S ribosomal RNA
Rfam family: Bacterial small subunit ribosomal RNA
Source: RNAcentral